This 114-nucleotide ribosomal RNA is filed under the name Periophthalmus magnuspinnatus. Lineage: Eukaryota; Metazoa; Chordata; Actinopteri; Gobiiformes; Gobiidae. The record is from RNAcentral.
UUUUUUAAAGAAGCUUAUUUAGUUAAGUCUGAACUCGUCAGAUCUCAGAAGCCAAGCAGAGCCGGGCCUGGUUGGUACCUAGAUGGGAAACUGCCGAGACACUGGUAGCAUAAC